GAUGAACGCUGGCGGCGUGCCUAACACAUGCAAGUCGAACGCUCGCAAGAGAGUGGCGCACGGGUGAGUAACACGUAGCUAAUCUGCUCUCAAGACAAGGAUAACUGUAGGAAACUACUGCUAAUACUUGAUAAGCUUACGGACUGUAGAGGUCUAUAAGAAAAGAUUUAUCGCUUGAGGAUGAGGCUGCGCGCCAUCAGCUAGUUGGUAAGGUAAUGGCUUACCAAGGCGACGACGGCUAGGGGACCUGAGAGGGUGACCCCCCCACACUGGGACUGAGACACGGCCAGACUCCUACGGGAGCAGCAGUGAGGAAUAUUGCUCAAUGGGCGCAAGCCUGAAGCAGCGACGCCGCGUGGAUGAAGAAGGUUUUCGGACUGUAAAAAUUCCUUUUCUGUGUGACGAGAGUGGACGGUAGCACAGGAAUAAGUCUCGGCU
This 438-nucleotide ribosomal RNA is filed under the name uncultured bacterium. RNAcentral describes it as "bacterial SSU rRNA". It matches the Rfam family "Bacterial small subunit ribosomal RNA", at positions 28 to 498 of the family's 1533-position model. The record is from RNAcentral.